GACGAACGCUGGCGGCGUGCUUAACACAUGCAAGUCGAACGGUAAGGCCUUCGGGUACACGAGUGGCGAACGGGUGAGUAACACGUGGGUGAUCUGCCCUGCACUUCGGGAUAAGCUUGGGAAACUGGGUCUAAUACCGGAUAGGACCACGCGCUUCAUGGUGUGUGGUGGAAAGCUUUUGCGGUGUGGGAUGGGCCCGCGGCCUAUCAGCUUGUUGGUGGGGUAAUGGCCUACCAAGGCGACGACGGGUAGCCGGCCUGAGAGGGUGACCGGCCACACUGGGACUGAGAUACGGCCCAGACUCCUACGGGAGGCAGCAGUGGGGAAUAUUGCACAAUGGGCGCAAGCCUGAUGCAGCGACGCCGCGUGAGGGAUGACGGCCUUCGGGUUGUAAACCUCUUUCAGCAGGGACGAAGGGUGACUGACGGUACCUGUAGAAGAAGGACCGGCCAACUACGUGCCAGCCGCCGCAGUAAAAC
RNAcentral lists this ribosomal RNA (479 nucleotides) under uncultured bacterium. Its description in RNAcentral is "bacterial SSU rRNA". It matches the Rfam family "Bacterial small subunit ribosomal RNA", at positions 28 to 526 of the family's 1533-position model. The record is from RNAcentral.